CCCCCCGUAAGCAUAGUUUAAACAAAACAUUAGAAUGUGAACCUAAAAACAGGAGAAUUUAAUAAUCC
Molecule: transfer RNA, 68 nt
Filed under: Melanosuchus niger (black caiman)
Lineage: Eukaryota; Metazoa; Chordata; Crocodylia; Alligatoridae
Description: tRNA-His
Source: RNAcentral